GAUGAACGCUGGCGGCGUGCCUAAUACAUGCAAGUCGAGCGAACGGAUGAGAAGCUUGCUUCUCUGAUGUUAGCGGCGGACGGGUGAGUAACACGUGGAUAACCUACCUAUAAGACUGGGAUAACUUCGGGAAACCGGAGCUAAUACCGGAUAAUAUUUUGAACCGCAUGGUUCAAAAGUGAAAGACGGUCUUGCUGUCACUUAUAGAUGGAUCCGCGCUGCAUUAGCUAGUUGGUAAGGUAACGGCUUACCAAGGCAACGAUGUAUAGCCGACCUGAGAGGGUGAUCGGCCACACUGGAACUGAGACACGGUCCAGACUCCUACGGGAGGCAGCAGUAGGGAAUCUUCCGCAAUGGGCGAAAGCCUGACGGAGCAACGCCGCGUGAGUGAUGAAGGUCUUCGGAUCGUAAAACUCUGUUAUUAGGGAAGAACAUAUGUGUAAGUAACUGUGCACAUCUUGACGGUACCUAAUCAGAAAGCCACGGCUAACUACGUG
Molecule: ribosomal RNA, 497 nt
Filed under: uncultured bacterium
Lineage: Bacteria
Description: partial 16S ribosomal RNA
Rfam family: Bacterial small subunit ribosomal RNA
Source: RNAcentral